Molecule: ribosomal RNA, 431 nt
Filed under: uncultured bacterium
Lineage: Bacteria
Description: bacterial SSU rRNA
Rfam family: Bacterial small subunit ribosomal RNA
Source: RNAcentral
UGGGGAAUAUUGCGCAAUGGGCGGAAGCCUGACGCAGCGACGCCGCGUGGGGGAUGAAGGCCUUCGGGUUGUAAACCUCUUUCACCACCGACGAAGCUCUGUGUUUACUUCGGUAAUCUCAGUUUGACGGUAGGUGGGGAAGAAGCGCCGGCUAACUACGUGCCAGCAGCCGCGGUAAUACGUAGGGCGCAAGCGUUGUCCGGAAUUAUUGGGCGUAAAGAGCUCGUAGGUGGUUUGUCGCGUCUGCCGUGAAAACCCGAGGCUUAACCUCGUGGCUUGCGGUGGAUACGGGCAGACUAGAGGUAGGUAGGGGAGAAUGGAAUUCCCGGUGUAGCGGUGAAAUGCGCAGAUAUCGGGAGGAACACCGGUGGCGAAGGCGGUUCUCUGGGCCUUACCUGACGCUGAGGAGCGAAAGCGUGGGGAGCGAACAG